Molecule: long non-coding RNA, 433 nt
Filed under: Struthio camelus australis
Lineage: Eukaryota; Metazoa; Chordata; Aves; Struthioniformes; Struthionidae
Description: lncRNA (ENSSCUG00000003080.1)
Source: RNAcentral
UAUCUUUUCUUUGCCAUCUCCAUCCCAGGCUCUGUUUCCCAGACACUUUAUCGCACUUUACUUCACAGAUUUUCUCUGCCGCAUUCCAGGUCUAGGUCCCUCCUCAGAGUAGGACACUUUCCCUCGCCGUACUGCCUGGGUGUCAGCACCUGCACAAGUGAGACAGACAGACUGCUGCCUCACUUUCCCUUGCUCUUGCUUCAGUGUGACCCAGAGAAGCUCCAGAUAAGUUCAUAUGCUUUUCACUGUUAUCAAAGGACAGCUAGAAGAUCAAACUAUUCACAUACUGUUACUAUUAAGAGUCUUCUAAAAGUACUGGCUUGUCUGAGGAGCUGCACAUCAUGAGUGCUGGUUUUACACCCUCACUGCAGGUAAUUUUUUUUCUUUGUAUAGAUUACCUGAGCAAAUUUUGCUAUGGGAGAUGCAGUUGGAC